UUAAAUGGCCGCAGUAUUUUAACUGUGCUAAGGUAGCAUAAUCAUUAGUUUUUUAAUUGAAAACUAGAAUGAAAGGUUGGAUGAAAAAAUAAUUGUCUCUAUUAAAUACAAUAGAAUUUUAUUUUUUAGUUAAAAAGCUAAAAUAAUUUUAAAAGACGAGAAGACCCUAUAGAAUUUUAUAUAAAUAAUUAUUUAUAUUUUUAGAAUUUUAAUUAUUAAUUUUUAUUUUUAUUUGAUUGGGGUGAUUAAAAAAUUUAAUUAACUUUUUUUUUAUUUUAAUAUUAAUGAAUAAUUUGUUGAUCCAAUAAUUUUUGAUUAUAAGAAAAAAUUACCUUAGGGAUAACAGCGUUAUUUUAUUGGAGAGUU
RNAcentral lists this ribosomal RNA (366 nucleotides) under Oides coccinelloides. RNAcentral describes it as "partial 16S ribosomal RNA". Lineage: Eukaryota; Metazoa; Arthropoda; Insecta; Coleoptera; Chrysomelidae. The record is from RNAcentral.